RNAcentral lists this ribosomal RNA (844 nucleotides) under uncultured bacterium. RNAcentral's name for it is "bacterial SSU rRNA". It matches the Rfam family "Bacterial small subunit ribosomal RNA", at positions 649 to 1502 of the family's 1533-position model. The record is from RNAcentral.
AGUGUGAGGUAGGCGGAAUGCGUUGUGUAGCGGUGAAAUGCAUAGAUAUGACGCAGAACUCCGAUUGCGAAGGCAGCUUACCAACACUUUACGGACGCUGAGGCACGAAAGCGUGGGUAUCGAACAGGAUUAGAUACCCUAGUAGUCCACGCAGUAAACGAUGAAUACUAAUUGUUCGGGGGGCAACCCCUGAGUGAUACAGCGAAAGCGUUAAGUAUUCCACCUGGGGAGUACGCCGGCAACGGUGAAACUCAAAGGAAUUGACGGGGGCCCGCACAAGCGGAGGAACAUGUGGUUUAAUUCGAUGAUACGCGAGGAACCUUACCCGGGCUCAAACGUUGGGGGAAUGCUCCUGAAAGGGAGCAGCCAGCAAUGGUCGCCAACGAGGUGCUGCAUGGUUGUCGUCAGCUCGUGCCGUGAGGUGUCGGCUUAAGUGCCAUAACGAGCGCAACCCCUGCGUCCAGUUACCAUCAAGUAAAGUUGGGGACUCUGGACGGACUGCCGGCGCAAGCCGUGAGGAAGGCGGGGAUGACGUCAAAUCAGCACGGCCCUUACGUCCGGGGCGACACACGUGUUACAAUGGCGUGGAACAGCGGGAAGCCACCUGGCGACAGGGAGCGGACCCCUAAAACACGUCUCAGUUCGGAUUGGAGUCUGCAACUCGACUCCAUGAAGCUGGAUUCGCUAGUAAUCGCGCGUCAGCCAUGGCGCGGUGAAUACGUUCCCGGGCCUUGUACACACCGCCCGUCAAGCCAUGGGAGCCGGGAGUGCCUGAAGUACGUAACCGGAAGGAGCGUCCAAGGGUAACACUGGUGACUGGGGCUAAGUCGUAACAAGGUAACCA